AUUGAACGCUGGCGGCGUGCUUAACACAUGCAAGUCGAGCGGUAGCAGGCGUAGCAAUACGUGCUGACGAGCGGCGAACGGGUGAGUAAUGCUUCGGAAUCUUCCUCGUAGUGGGGAACAACCUGGGGAAACUCAGGCUAAUACCGCAUACGAACUACGGUUGAAAGCAGGGGAUCGCAAGACCUUGCGCUAUGAGAUGA
This 200-nucleotide ribosomal RNA is filed under the name uncultured bacterium. RNAcentral's name for it is "partial 16S ribosomal RNA". It matches the Rfam family "Bacterial small subunit ribosomal RNA", at positions 30 to 228 of the family's 1533-position model. The record is from RNAcentral.